RNAcentral lists this ribosomal RNA (817 nucleotides) under uncultured bacterium. RNAcentral describes it as "bacterial SSU rRNA". It matches the Rfam family "Bacterial small subunit ribosomal RNA", at positions 86 to 916 of the family's 1533-position model. The record is from RNAcentral.
GUACACGAGCGGGCGAACGGGUGAGUAACACGUGGGUGAUCUGCCCUGCACUUCGGGAUAAGCCUGGGAAACUGGGUCUAAUACCGGAUAUGACCUCCUAUCGCAUGGUGGGUGGUGGAAAGAUUUAUCGGUGCAGGAUGGGCCCGCGGCCUAUCAGCUUGUUGGUGGGGUAAUGGCCUACCAAGGCGACGACGGGUAGCCGACCUGAGAGGGUGACCGGCCACACUGGGACUGAGACACGGCCCAGACUCCUACGGGAGGCAGCAGUGGGGAAUAUUGCACAAUGGGCGAAAGCCUGAUGCAGCGACGCCGCGUGAGGGAUGACGGCCUUCGGGUUGUAAACCUCUUUCAGCAGGGACGAAGCGCAAGUGACGGUACCUGCAGAAGAAGCACCGGCUAACUACGUGCCAGCAGCCGCGGUAAUACGUAGGGUGCAAGCGUUGUCCGGAAUUACUGGGCGUAAAGAGUUCGUAGGCGGUUUGUCGCGUCGUUUGUGAAAACCAGCAGCUCAACUGCUGGCUUGCAGGCGAUACGGGCAGACUUGAGUACUGCAGGGGAGACUGGAAUUCCUGGUGUAGCGGUGAAAUGCGCAGAUAUCAGGAGGAACACCGGUGGCGAAGGCGGGUCUCUGGGCAGUAACUGACGCUGAGGAACGAAAGCGUGGGUAGCGAACAGGAUUAGAUACCCUGGUAGUCCACGCCGUAAACGGUGGGCGCUAGGUGUGGGUUCCUUCCACGGAAUCCGUGCCGUAGCUAACGCAUUAAGCGCCCCGCCUGGGGAGUACGGCCGCAAGGCUAAAACUCAAAUGAAUUGACGG